RNAcentral lists this unclassified non-coding RNA (400 nucleotides) under uncultured fungus. RNAcentral describes it as "sequence contains ITS1". Lineage: Eukaryota; Fungi. The record is from RNAcentral.
GUACGUCAUCCCCACCUUCCUCCGGUUUGUCACCGGCAGUCUCCUUAGAGUUCCCACCUUUACGUGCUGGCAACUAAGGACAAGGGUUGCGCUCGUUGCGGGACUUAACCCAACAUCUCACGACACGAGCUGACGACAGCCAUGCAGCACCUGUGUUCCGAUUCCCGAAGGCACCCGCCCAUCUCUGGGCAGUUCCGGACAUGUCAAGGCCAGGUAAGGUUCUGCGCGUUGCAUCGAAUUAAACCACAUACUCCACCGCUUGUGCGGGCCCCCGUCAAUUCCUUUGAGUUUCAGUCUUGCGACCGUACUCCCCAGGCGGCGAACUUAACGCGUUAGCUUCGACACUGAGUGGCUAGAUCCACCCAACGUCCAGUUCGCAUCGUUUAGGGCGUGGACUACC